CCGCCAGGGGCAGCGGGAGGUGCGCCGCGCCACCACCGUCGCCGGCGCCGUGCUCGGGGCGCGGCCGCUGGUCGUGCCCGCGCUGGUGGU
This 90-nucleotide transfer RNA is filed under the name Pseudonocardia hydrocarbonoxydans. RNAcentral's name for it is "tRNA-Gly". The record is from RNAcentral. Lineage: Bacteria; Bacillati; Actinomycetota; Actinomycetes; Pseudonocardiales; Pseudonocardiaceae.